Molecule: ribosomal RNA, 542 nt
Filed under: uncultured bacterium
Lineage: Bacteria
Description: bacterial SSU rRNA
Rfam family: Bacterial small subunit ribosomal RNA
Source: RNAcentral
AAUAGAUACCCAGGUAGUCCACCCCGUAAACGUUGGGAACUAGUUGUGGGUCCAUUCCACGGAUUCCGUGACGCAGCUAACGCAUUAAGUUCCCCGCCUGGGGAGUACGGCCGCAAGGCUAAAACUCAAAGGAAUUGACGGGGACCCGCACAAGCGGCGGAGCAUGCGGAUUAAUUCGAUGCAACGCGAAGAACCUUACCAAGGCUUGACAUAUAGAGGAAACGGCUGGAAACAGUCGCCCCGCAAGGUCUCUAUACAGGUGGUGCAUGGUUGUCGUCAGCUCGUGUCGUGAGAUGUUGGGUUAAGUCCCGCAACGAGCGCAACCCUCGUUCUAUGUUGCCAGCACGUAAUGGUGGGAACUCAUGGGAUACUGCCGGGGUCAACUCGGAGGAAGGUGGGGAUGACGUCAAAUCAUCAUGCCCCUUAUGUCUUGGGCUUCACGCAUGCUACAAUGGCCGGUACAAAGGGCUGCAAUACCGUAAGGUGGAGCGAAUCCCAAAAAGCCGGUCCCAGUUCGGAUUGAGGUCUGCAACUCGACCUCA